RNAcentral lists this ribosomal RNA (497 nucleotides) under uncultured bacterium. RNAcentral's name for it is "partial 16S ribosomal RNA". It matches the Rfam family "Bacterial small subunit ribosomal RNA", at positions 29 to 507 of the family's 1533-position model. The record is from RNAcentral.
AGUGAACGCUGGCGGCGUGCCUAAUACAUGCAAGUCGAGCGGCCAGACAAGGAGCUUGCUCCUCUACCGUUGGCGGCGGACGGGUGGGUAACACGUGGAUAACCUACCUCUUAGUCUUGGGUGACUUCGGGGGGCCAGAGCUAAUACCACCUAAUAUGUUCUACCGCAUAGUUCAAUAGUUCUAGGCAGUUUUCCUGUCUCUUUUAGAUGAUGCCGGGCCGGAUUAUCUAGUUGGUAAGGUAACGGCUUACCAAGGCAACGAUGCGUAGCUGACCUGAGAGGGUGAUCGGCCACACUGGAACUGAGACACGGUCCAGACUCCUACGGGAGGCAGCAGUAGGGAAUCUUCCGCAAUGGGCGAAAGCCUGACGGAGCAAUGCCGCGUGAGUGAUGAAGGUCUUCGGAUUGUAAAACCCUGUUAUUAGGGAAGAACAAAUGUGUAAGUAACUAUGCACGUCUUGACGGUACCUAAACAGAAAGCAACGGCUAACUACGUG